ACGGAGGGUGCAAGCGUUAAUCGGAAUUACUGGGCGUAAAGCGCACGCAGGCGGUUUGUUAAGUCAGAUGUGAAAUCCCCGGGCUCAACCUGGGAACUGCAUCGGAUACUGGCAAGCUUGAGUCUCGUAGAGGGGGGUAGAAUUCCAGGUGGAGCGGUGAGAUGCGGAGAGAGCUGGAGGAAGACCGGUGGCGAAGGAGGCAACAUGGACUAAGACUGACGCUCAGGUGCGAAAGCGUGGGGAGCAAACAG
This 251-nucleotide ribosomal RNA is filed under the name uncultured prokaryote. RNAcentral's name for it is "partial 16S rRNA". It matches the Rfam family "Bacterial small subunit ribosomal RNA", at positions 525 to 775 of the family's 1533-position model. The record is from RNAcentral.